UACAUAUGUGAUAAUCACACAGAAUGAUGUAGAGGAGCUAAUACUAGGGAAUGUCCACCACUGUUUGUGGAAGUGACAUCAUUCCCAUGGUUCUGUGUGUAGUUCAGUUCACUGACCACCAUCUUGAGUGAAGGAGAUCAUCAGACAAGGAUCGAGCUGCAAAAACACUGGAGGCUUCAUCCUACCCAGAAUGCACAGCAGUCCAAUAAAGCUGCUAAUAAACAAUAUAAAAGGUUAAAUGACACCAUUAAAUUGAUGAUGUCACUGUGAUCAAUUACAACUAAAAACUCUCACCGCAGCUGCAGAGUGAAAUCUCACAAACACUGACCACACCAGAGUCCAGAAGAUAAUCAGGAGUCCCGGCCUCGUGUCCAGCUACACCCUAAAAAAGGCAUGAUGUCAUGGAUCAUUGUGGAUUGAAGGCCCCACUGCGUCCACUCCCCUCUCCUGACCGUCCAUGAGAGAUGAAACCCAGC
Hemibagrus wyckioides is the source of this 476-nucleotide long non-coding RNA. RefSeq lists it as uncharacterized. Lineage: Eukaryota; Metazoa; Chordata; Actinopteri; Siluriformes; Bagridae. The record is from RefSeq and is a predicted model, not a curated record. The transcript is spliced from 3 exons.